RNAcentral lists this ribosomal RNA (329 nucleotides) under uncultured Pseudomonadota bacterium. RNAcentral's name for it is "bacterial SSU rRNA". It matches the Rfam family "Bacterial small subunit ribosomal RNA", at positions 127 to 490 of the family's 1533-position model. The record is from RNAcentral. Lineage: Bacteria; Pseudomonadati; Pseudomonadota.
UGCCCUAUGGCCUGGAAUAACACGAGGAAACUUGUGCUAAUACCGGAUAAGUCUUUACGGAGAAAGCUUUAUGCACCAUUGGAUGAGCCUGCAUUUGAUUAGUUUGUUGGUGGGGUAAUGGCCUACCAAGACUUUGAUCAAUAGCUGAUUUGAGAGGAUGAUCAGCCACAUUGGGACUGAGACAGGCCCAAACUCCUACGGGAGGCAGCAGUGGGGAAUCUUGCACAAUGGAGGAAACUCUGAUGCAGCGAUGCCGCGUGAGUGAAGAAGGCCCUUGGGUUGUAAAGCUCUUUCGUCGGGGAAGAAAAUGACUGUACCCGAAUAAGAAG